This 379-nucleotide ribosomal RNA is filed under the name uncultured eukaryote. Its description in RNAcentral is "partial 18S ribosomal RNA". It matches the Rfam family "Eukaryotic small subunit ribosomal RNA", at positions 592 to 976 of the family's 1831-position model. The record is from RNAcentral.
CAAUAGCGUAUAUUUAAGUUGUUGCAGUUAAAAAGCUCGUAGUUGGAUUUUGGGUCGGGGGCACCGGUCCGCCGUUCCGGUGUGCACUGGUGGCCCCUUCCUUUCUGCCGGGGACGUGCGUCGCACUUAAUUGGGUGGCGUUCGGAGUCGGCGUUGUUACUUUGAAAAAAUUAGAGUGUUCAAAGCAAGCCAUCGCUCUGAAUACAUUAGCAUGGAAUAACAUGAUAGGACUCCGGUCUUAUUUUGUUGGUUUCCGAGACUGGAGUAAUGAUUAAGAGGGACAGUCGGGGGCAUCCGUAUUUCAUUGUCAGAGGUGAAAUUCUUGGAUUUAUGAAAGACGAACUUCUGCGAAAGCAUUCGCCAAGGAUGUUUUCAUUAA